CAAAUUUAUAUUUUUUUUACUUUAGGCGAUUCCUAAUUGCAGAUGGAGCUGCCUAAAAUGUACUGAUAUUGUGGCAGUACUUUCUUCCUCCUCAGCCAUGUCUCUCUCACCAAAACCCCUCUUGCAUCGCUUGUGUUUCAACGAGCUUCCUUGCAUUUACACUUUUAGGGUUCCCACUCGGUUCCACCUACAGAAAUCAAAGAGCCCCUCAUCAAACCUGUCCCACUUUCAACGUCUCUGCUCAGUUACCGGCGACAACAAUGUUUCUGGUUCAUCGGGUUCUCACAACAAAAAUCAUGACCAUGGAGCUAAAUUAUCCGGCAUCUUGCCUUGUUUUCCAGGCUCAAGGGAAAGGAGUGAAAUGAGUCGAUCGUCAGCUUCGAAUGAUUUGUUGAAGAAACUAAAGAGAUAUGGGAUUUCUGGAAUAUUAUCCUAUGGGCUUUUGAAUACUGCCUACUACCUUACAACCUUUCUCUUGGUGUGGUUCUAUAUUGCUCCUGCACCUGGAAAAAUGGGUUAUUUCGCUGCUGCUGAAAGAUUUCUCAAAGUGAUGGCAAUGGUGUGGGCUGGGAGCCAAGUUACCAAGCUUGUGAGAGCAGGAGGGGCUUAACAAAUGGAUAGUUUUAUGGGCUGUUUGGGUUGCUGCUGAGGUCGGAUGGUCCUCAAGCAUUGGGACACUGUAACGAGUAAUGACCAUAGUUGGAACAUUUCUCAAAAGUGUCUGAAAUUAAACGAACAAACCAGAAAACAUAAAAUAUUUGGAGAUAUAAAUUCCUGGUCUGAUGCGCAAUUGUUGUUACGUUAAUGCAAUUUAGAGGAACUAAACCCCUGUUUUCAACCUCAGCAAAGAAUUUGUUUCCCAAAGUUGCAAGGACAUGGAUGUAGUUGAACCUUGUGAGCUUGUUUUAUAUUAAACUAAGACAGUUUUCUGUUGGAUUGCUUCAUGGUAAUUCUUUUUUUCUAGAUCAUGAAUCAUCAUUUUUAUUUUAUCCACCUGUCUUUUUUUCCCCUUGCCCUUGUUUUAUGAUUUUGUUUGAUGUUCUUAUACUACCAUUUUGCAUAUAGAAUUGGAUGAUUCCCAUCCACAGUAAGGCUCUUUUACUAUCUUUUUAAAUCUUGUAAGCCUAAUUUAGUAAGUGCAUUAUACAUUUUGAAGCAUUUGUUUCUUAAAGAGAUACCUCUUGCCCAGGGCCCUUGCUCUUGCACCUUUUGUAGACAGUGGAUUGUCAUGGUUCACUGUCAAAUUCAAAUUUGAGUCUCAGGAGAAGGCUUUCAUAGCAAUUGUUGGAUUCUGUUUUGGGCUGGCCGUCAUUUUAUUUCUAGUCAUGACAUUGCUCUGG
Populus nigra (black poplar) is the source of this 1340-nucleotide RNA transcript. RefSeq lists it as uncharacterized. Lineage: Eukaryota; Viridiplantae; Streptophyta; Magnoliopsida; Malpighiales; Salicaceae. The record is from RefSeq and is a predicted model, not a curated record. The transcript has 9 exons.